This 292-nucleotide ribosomal RNA is filed under the name uncultured bacterium. RNAcentral describes it as "partial 16S ribosomal RNA". It matches the Rfam family "Bacterial small subunit ribosomal RNA", at positions 505 to 796 of the family's 1533-position model. The record is from RNAcentral.
GUGCCAGCCGCCGCGGUAAGACGGAAGGUGCAAGCGUUGCUCGGAAUCACUGGGCGUAAAGGGUGCGUAGGCGGCUUCUUAAGUCUGGUGUGAAAGCCCAGGGCUCAGCUCUGGAAGUGCACUAGAAACUGGGAAGCUUGAGUACCGGAGGGGAGAGUGGAAUUCCUGGUGUAGCGGUGAAAUGCGUAGAUAUCAGGAGGAAUACCGGUGGCGAAAGCGACUCUCUGGACGGUUACUGACGCUGAGGCACGAAAGCGUGGGGAGCAAACAGGAUUAGAAACCCGCGUAGUCC